RNAcentral lists this long non-coding RNA (1204 nucleotides) under Anas platyrhynchos platyrhynchos (common mallard). Its description in RNAcentral is "lncRNA (ENSAPLG00000030460.1)". The record is from RNAcentral. Lineage: Eukaryota; Metazoa; Chordata; Aves; Anseriformes; Anatidae.
UGAAUUUAAUGCAGGUGCAGACACAAGCCUCGCAUAAGGGAGCAAUUUUCUGAUUCAUUCAUGUAAGACCCUGAGGGAGAGUUGGAACAAGAUGUACAAAGGGCCCUGCAUCAACAGCAAUUCAUUGAUCCUCCUGGAACCUUCUUCACUGAUGAAAAAGCUAAAGACUGGAUGGAAAUCUACAGCAGAUCCAGAAAUAAAUCAACGCCUUUUUAUUUUGGUCCAGUUCCCUGACAACACUUUCUCUUCUUACUCCUUGUAAAGGAGCAUGUUUUGCAGCAUUUUUAUUAUUGCAGCACUUUUGUAACUCAAACAUUGUUACUUGUUCUUCUGGCCCUGUAGAUUUAUGAAAUUAAUUGGUCCCUGCCUUCCUUUCUGUAUCUUUAGAGAGAUUUUAUAGCUGCCCUCAGCUCUUCACCAGGCUGAACUUCCCCAUUCCCUUAGGCUUUUCUCACAUAGCAAGUUACACAGACGUCUCACUCUUGCUACUCUCCUGAGCUCUCUCCACAGCCUCCAUCACCGAAGAGGCUCAGCACCCAUCUCAUGUUCCUGUUUCUACUACAGAGAAGGAUUUGGAGAUGUUCUCACUAUGGAGCAGAUUUGAAGGAGACUUCCAGAAGCCAACAGCUGCAUUGGGCCACCGAAAUCGCAAAGGAAAAGAAAAAGAAAACAAAAAGAAAAAGAAUGUGGUGCAUUAAUGAAGUUCUGUUUGGGUUUCUGACGAGGUCUCUUGUGUCAGACCCAUCCCUGCUGCUGGCCUGCACACUUCGGGAAGGAGCGCUAAGGGUACACACAAAGACAGAAAGCCACACCAACAAAAUCCUCCCCACCUAAUGCCACUGCCCUGAUUAAUGUGUUCUGCCUCCAAAGAGGUGAACUCUGCCAUCCAGAUCCAGCUCCAAGGGGGGCUGAGCCUGCAUGGGGAUGGAUGCCUUGGAUGAGGCAAGGGGUGAUGGUUUCUAUGCUGGGUGGGAUCAGUCUCCUGGAGGAUGGUUGCUGCAGACAAAGCAGCUGUGGAGGGAGGCUGAAAACUGGGGGGCUUCAGUCCCAGUAAAUGCAGUCACUCACUGCUCUAUCUCCGAAGUAACAGAUGUGUCACAUUCUUAAAAUGAUGCUAAAAAUCUCAUUUCAUAUAAUUUUUGAGUUGUAUCAGAAUCAAGAUUACUUUAAUAAAGCAACAGACCAAUGUUCCUCUGUACUAUGA